GAUGAACGCUGGCGGCGUGCUUAACACAUGCAAGUCGAACGAAGCACUUUAUUUGAUUUCCUUCGGGACUGAUUAUUUUGUGACUGAGUGGCGGACGGGUGAGUAACGCGUGGGUAACCUGCCUUGUACAGGGGGAUAACAGUUGGAAACGGCUGCUAAUACCGCAUAAGCGCACAGCAUCGCAUGAUGCAGUGUGAAAAACUCCGGUGGUAUAAGAUGGACCCGCGUUGGAUUAGCUAGUUGGUGAGGUAACGGCCCACCAAGGCGACGAUCCAUAGCCGACCUGAGAGGGUGACCGGCCACCUUGGGACUGAGACACGGCCCAAACUCCUACGGGAGGCAGCAGUGGGGAAUAUUGCACAAUGGGCGAAAGCCUGAUGCAGCGACGCCGCGUGAGCGAAGAAGUAUUUCGAUAUGUAAAGCUCUAUCAGCAGGGAAGAUAAUGACGGUACCUGACUAAGAAGCACCGGCUAAAUACGUG
RNAcentral lists this ribosomal RNA (481 nucleotides) under uncultured bacterium. Its description in RNAcentral is "partial 16S ribosomal RNA". It matches the Rfam family "Bacterial small subunit ribosomal RNA", at positions 28 to 507 of the family's 1533-position model. The record is from RNAcentral.